UUCAGAAUCCAGUUCGUCAACCGUUACUACGUGAACCACCUAGAGACUUGGGAGAAUUAUAUGAAGGGGACGACGCCAGAUCAAAUUUGUCUCAGACACAUUUGAAAGUAUAAUGCGGCAGAUGCGACCAGCCAUGGAUCUUUGAAUGGAAUAGAGAUUUGAGACCUUUCUGACAAUUCCGGGAAAUGAGAGACACGUAGGGAGACGCAAAAAACAAUGGUCGAUGGUGAUGGUUACGAGAUAUGCAAAGAUAAUGGUGAAUGGAAUUGAUCGAGGGUGCAAGUGGAAUUGGUUUGUAGACGUAAAAAUGGUCUGAAAAGACAUGUAUAUGGUGUGUUCGCCUACAAGUGCAACGAAGUUAUUAGAGAUUUUCUACAAAAUCCAUAAUCAUAGUUAGUUUUUGGGUGUUGUGGCCUGUAUGUAAUUUAAGUAAAACGUUUUUCUGUGUUCAUACGUUCAGUUGAUUGUAUUCCUAAAGCUUUUGUGGACUCCAAAAUGUGGUGUUUUUGGAGUUGG
This is a long non-coding RNA of Papaver somniferum (opium poppy), 516 nucleotides long. RefSeq lists it as uncharacterized. NCBI's taxonomy places the organism in Eukaryota, Viridiplantae, Streptophyta, Magnoliopsida, Ranunculales, Papaveraceae. The transcript has 3 exons. The record is from RefSeq and is a predicted model, not a curated record.